Molecule: ribosomal RNA, 253 nt
Filed under: uncultured bacterium
Lineage: Bacteria
Description: partial 16S ribosomal RNA
Rfam family: Bacterial small subunit ribosomal RNA
Source: RNAcentral
UACGGAGGUUGCAAGCGUUAUCCGGAUUUAUUGGGUUUAAAGGGUGCGUAGGCGGGAUAAUAAGUCAGUGGUGAAAUCCUGUCGCUUAACGAUAGAACUGCCAUUGAUACUGUUAUUCUUGAGUAUAGUUGAGGUGGGCGGAAUGUGUAAUGUAGCGGUGAAAUGCUUAGAUAUUACACAGAACACCGAUUGCGUAGGCAGCUCACUAAACUACAACUGACGCUGAGGCACGAAAGCGUGGGGAGCAAACAGG